Molecule: ribosomal RNA, 497 nt
Filed under: uncultured bacterium
Lineage: Bacteria
Description: partial 16S ribosomal RNA
Rfam family: Bacterial small subunit ribosomal RNA
Source: RNAcentral
GAUGAACGCUGGCGGCGUGCCUAAUACAUGCAAGUCGAGCGAACGGACGAGAAGCUUGCUUCUCUGAUGUUAGCGGCGGACGGGUGAGUAACACGUGGAUACCCUACCUAUAAGACUGGGAUAACUUCGGGACACCGGAGCUAACACCGGAGAAUAUUUUGAACCGCAUGGUUCAAAAGUGAAAGACGGUCUUGCUGUCACUUAUAGAUGGAUCCGCGCUGCAUUAGCUAGUUGGUAAGGUAACGGCUUACCACGGCAACGAUGCAUAGCCGACCUGAGAGGGUGAUCGGCGACACUGGAACUGAGACACGGUCCAGACUCCUACGGGAGGCAGCAGUAGGGAAUCGUCCGCAAUGGGCGAAAGCCUGACGGAGCAACGCCGCGUGAGUGAUGAAGGUCUUCGGAUCGGAAAACUCUGUUAUUAGGGAAGAACAUAUGUGUAAGGAACUGUGCACAUCUUGACGGUACCUAAUCAGAAAGCCACGGCUAACUACGUG